AUGGCCAUAUCAUGUUGAAACACUGGUUCCUGUAUGGUCACUGAAGUUAAGCAAUGUUGAACCUGGUCAGUACUGAGAUGGGUGACCUCUUGGAAAUACCAGGUGG
Acanthosepion pharaonis is the source of this 106-nucleotide non-coding RNA. The record is from the annotation of a GenBank genome assembly. NCBI's taxonomy places the organism in Eukaryota, Metazoa, Mollusca, Cephalopoda, Sepiida, Sepiidae.